Molecule: long non-coding RNA, 6173 nt
Organism: Megalobrama amblycephala (Wuchang bream)
Lineage: Eukaryota; Metazoa; Chordata; Actinopteri; Cypriniformes; Xenocyprididae
Exons: 5
Source: RefSeq, a predicted model, not a curated record
UCCUAUAUAAUGAGUUUCCAAUUGCAAUUUGUGUGUGUGUGUGUGUGUGUGUGUGUGUGUGUGUGUGUGUGUUGGACCCUGAGGCAGCCCAGGGUGCUCUCAAGCCAGCUGCCACUGUUCAAAACAGACAGGAAACAGCUUCCACUAACACGACUGCAAUAUGGAAAGCAGCGACCUCCUUGAUGCACCCCAUGGCAUGAUUCUAAUAUCCCCCCUCACUCUUCACGCACACACUUACAUACAUGCAUAAAUGCAGGAUUAAAUGGUUUAAUAUCUUAUCCAGUUGUGUCAUUUAUAUUUUCAAUAAGAUCAUAUGGUUGAUAUUUUGGAGAUCAUUCAUAGGACCUUGACCCGUUUCAGCAGUAGCCCAGGAGCAUUUGGGAACGUGUGCCUGGAGUGCGAUAGAGAGAGACUUGAUUUCCCUGUGCUGUAGAGAUGCUUUGUUUCACUGUAAAUGUGUGUGUGUGUGUGUGUGUGUGUGAAUGCAUAUCUAUUAUCCUUCUGAGAAAUACAGAGCCGCUCGGCUCCCACACUGGCCUCUGAUCAUCGCCCUGUAAAUGCAGCCUGUCACCUUCAGUGGUGUAAUGAUCACAGAAACAGUGACCUUGAUCUAUGGCAAGCCAUAACGGAGAAGAGAGAGCGUCUCCCACACUCCGCACUCAGAUAUAACAGUGAUACAGGGGAAGCCAAAGGAGGGUUCAGAACAGGGCCAUUUGAUUGGCAAUAAAGGUUGUUGGAGUGUCUGUAAUGGAUGUGAGAUCUCUCCUGUUAUCAUCCAUUUGGAUAGGGCAUCGACUGAAGACGACGUGAUUCCAGAUUGAAAACUCAGGGAGUGGCUGAUUAUGGUUUUAUUGCAUAGUCCAUUACACUGGUCAACACUACACACUGUUUCUCAAAGCAGAGGCUGUGGUGGAUUAAUGGGGCAGCGCUUCUGUUCUCUCCAGCCCCCUCGGACAUACGCACCUUUCCUUCCCUUCAGCAAGGCUUUUUGAAUAUGUCCCAGUUCUUGCCACAUUUAGCUUUAAAUAAGUUUCACCCUCCCUUCUUCUUGAAAGAAGGGCGCAGUGGGUUCAUGCACCCUGUGAGUUCAGCACUCAUCAUUUAUCAUCCCUCUUUUUUUUUUGGAAACGAUGAACAAUAUUAUGUCAUAGACUCCUCUUGUGAUGGAAACUAUAUGUACAUCUUAAACUAUGUGAGAAAUGAACAUUUUGUUUUAAUAAAAGCUGUAUAACAUUUGAUAAAGGGAUAGUUCAGCCAUAAUUCAAAUUGUCAUCAUUUACUCACCCCCAUGCCAUUCCAAACCUGUAUGUAUAUUUUGUGUUUUUUUUGUUUGUCUGUUUGUCAAUACAGUGUAAAUCAAUGUCAUCCAGUGUUUAUUUGGACCUCAUUUACUUGCAAUGUAUAUACAAAAACAUUUGAAACAUUCUUCAAAAUAUCUUGUGGUUCCAUUCCAGCCUCUCACUCUCUCUGUAAACUGCACUGUACAAACAAAGGCAAAAAUAAAUAUAUAUAAAAAUGAUUUCAAUGAAUAUAAUCAAUUAUUUAUCUUUUAUAUUCCACAGAAGAAAGUCAAAUGGGUUUGGAACAACACGAGGGUUCCUUUGAUGCGUUCGGGUGUACGGGGGUAACGGGCAGCCUAUUGGAGCAUGGCAGACCACCUGAGAGUUGUUUUCUGGACUCUGGGAGGUCACCUGACACCAGUGCUCCGGAGAAGGUGCACAGCACUGGAUUUCACAUGAAAGAAAGGUUUGGAAUGACAUGAGGGUGAGUAAAUGAUGGGAGAAUUUUCAUAUCUUUAAUAUAUUUUAAUAGCUGUUAAGGCAUCUCAAAUGAAAUAUGAGAUUGGAGAAUACUAUAAUUGCAUUCUCUCUGAAAUGAAGGAAGGCUCAAGCAGGAUGUUCUGUAGGUGAAAUUCAAUACGGGCAAACCAUUUUAGCCAUCGUAGGAGUGAGGUGACGAAUCAUUUCUGUUCUGAAUGGAUGAUUCAGAGCCAGAGGUGAAUCAUACAGGGGUUUGUUUGUAUCUGUGCCUUUGAUCCCCCUCUGAUAGUCUCUACACCGCACAACAUCUGUCACGCCGCAUGCCACAUUCGCUCACAUAGAGCUUUAGGUGAUGCUAGUGUAUGGUUAUUCCUGCCACACGGUCCACAUGGGCAUCCCCAACGCCAGUGCUCAUUAGCAGGCAGGUGGCGUUAGAGUUUCGACUGGGGCAGAGACAAGAAAUAGAACCUGGCAAACUGGGUUGUACGUCCGCAUUGGGUAAUCCCCGCCAGAUUGCCAGGAUAUCAGAAGUGACAUCACAAAGCCAACAAAAAUUAGCAUCCCUAAUGGUCUGCCAGGCCAAACAUUAUUCUUCAUGAUGAGAAGCAGUCAUGCCUGCCCAGGGCUCCUGAUGAUUUGGCCAAAAGCAGUGGAGGCCCCUAAGAUCUCAGCUCCAGCCAAAACCAACAGGCUCUAUUCUCCAACUCAUGAAGACUGGUUGUACAUUACCCCAAAGGAAGUUCCUGUGAAAAACCAUCAUAUACUGCUGAUGCCUUCAGAUUCCAGAAGAUCCUUGGAAAUAUCCUUCAAAUGAGACUCUCACCUGGCACUUGACUACCAGUGAAAAAAACACCUUGACUAGAUUUAAAACCAAGAAAGAUCAAUGAGAGGAGAGGGGGAGAGUGGCAGAUUUAAUUAAUUACUGCACAUUAGAAUGUUUGUUUACAAAAGUGAACAGUUACAAGGGGCCUGAUGGUAAUUAAUUUAAAACGUACUUCCCCCUGUCCCUGCCUCGCGUCUGCAGCAGACAUGGUAGUUUCAUGGCAGGUAAGCCUGCGUCUCAUUGGAUUUCCAUCAAUUGCUCAAAGGUGUGUUUGAAAACAAAGAUGCAUGGUACACAAAUUAGCCUGAAUGUUAACAUGAUUGCAUAUUAAGAAAUCUAAUUAGUAUUCCAAGGAAUCAAAAGGGAAGAGCUGCAUGAUGUUAUGAUAUUGCAUAUCUAAGAGGAAAGUUUCACCAUUUUAUUUUUCAUUCUCUAUAAUAUUUAAAUGUAACUUAAGAUUUUAAAUAGAUCUGUAAAAAAUUUUUUUCUUUGUGACGAUGACUUUAUUUCAUCAACAAUGUCACUGUGGUUGCAUGUGUGUAUGUUUUCAUCUGUGGUCAGGAGGUCUCUCGAGGUCCCCCUCCAGGACAAUGAUGUAUUUAAGUCCCCUAAGAGGUCAGAUGGACUCUGUCCAGAACAUCACCUGCAAUCAAUAGUGUUGGUAAACCAGGCUCAACUGAGUGGCCAUGAAGACUCCCCUUAUAAACACGCUCACAGAGAGGCCGGCAUGGCCCAUUGCUUUGCUAAAACCGCAACCAACAUCCUGACACACACACACACAACACAUGCCACCACUCUGAAAACAAGUGUUGAUGACAAAGAGAAGAAAAAUAACAGCACCUCAGCGCAAUACCCUUUGCAUUCAUCUUCACUCUGUCAUAGCAAAGGUUGCGCAUUCUCCUUAACGCACAGGUGAAUUGGGUGCACUGCUUCAAUCAAGGCUUCACUAUUGGGUUUGAGAGUCAUCUGAGCCCAGACAACAAAAGCAAACGCUACAGUGAGUGUCUCUACUGUAAGUGGCUUUUGAAGAAUUGGCACAGUCAUCUGGCGAACACCUCACAUCUCUCACAAACAAAUGAAGGCCUGGUGCUUCAAAGUGAGAUUGAUAUCUCUCUCUGAACUUCAACCAGAAUAUUCUGAAUAUUGAGAGAGGUGCACUCCUCCCACGGGACCGCCGAGGCGCCUCUCUCCUCCCUCGUUCCGCCAAAGAGGGGAAAAAAGAUUGCCCCUGUAGAUCUUCCAUGUUCAUCAAUAUUCACUCAUUCAUCGUGAGCCAUGGCAGCUGAAAUUUGGCCUAGUAUUGCUGAAUGGAUGACCCAGGGAUCCACUUUGCUGCUAUGAGGUUGUCUGGAAUUAAAACAGAACAAUACACAAUUUUUAUGAACUUCAGAGUCGUCUAUAUAUUUUACGUUGUGACAGAAAACUUUUCAAUUUGCUCUGCAAGUUCUUAAGAGUACCCAGCCAUUUAAUAAGAUUAGAAUAGAUGUAGAAUGGAUGUAUAUGCUUUGUUCUGCUUUCUGACUGUUUGCCAAAUAUACAUUUUUUUUUCCUUUUGUUUUUUACUUGGAAAUAUUUUUCAAAUACAAUGGAGAAGGAAACUACUGCUAUAAUUCAAUGUAAAUGUAAACCAUUAUGUAUUAUUUACACCAAAUUUAAGCUGUAUAGUAUAUAAAACUGUAUAGUACAGUAUUGAAUUACUGUUAUUAAAGAGGUCCUUGAUUAUGAUUUCACUUUUUUAACUUUAGUUAGUGUGUAAUGUUGCUGUUUGAGUAUAAACAACAUCUGCAAAGUUAUGAUGCCCAAAAUUCAAUGCAAAGGGAGAUAUUUUCUUUUACAGAAAUUUCUUUUUAAGGACUACAACAAAAGGCUGGUAGGGACUACAACAAGCUUCUUCCCGGUUUGGUGAUGUCAUGCCCCCGGAAACAUGCAACAAAGGGGGCGAGGCCAUGAGAAGAGGAAGAGUUGGUGGAUUUGCACAAAAGAUUAACAUGACGGCACAUGUUGAUGAGUUGAAUCAAUUCCACAGCAACUAAAUUAUAAAUGUAUCCACUAACCAUUCAGAAACAUCCAUAUGCAUUCUAAAAUUUGAAACUUCUUCCUGAGUCUCUCCAUCAGUGUCCAACUCCGGUUUGAACAAUGUAAGGCUAAACACCGUUCUUGACAAUCGUCAUUUUGGCUGCAUGAGAUUCUCCAGCUUUGUUGUUGUUGAGCAACCAUGAAGCGUGAGCUGUUAAAGCUCCACCCUCUUUUGGAAAGGGGGCGGGGAGCAGCAGCUCAUUUCCAUUUAAAGGGGGACACACACAAACGGCGUGUUUUUGCUCACACCCAAAUAGGGGCAAAUUUGAAAAGCUAUAAUAAAUGAUCUAUGGGGUAUUUUGAGCUGAAACUUCACAGACACAUUCUGGGGACAAUAGAGACUUAUAUUACAUCUUGUGAAAAAGGGGCAUAAUAGGUCCCCUUUAAACUAAACCUUGCAAAAUGUACAAAUUCCUUUGCAGUUUCAAUGUGCAUGUAGAGAAUGUAGCAUAUAUUCUAUGUACCAUUUUAAAUGACAACACAAAUGAUCAAACUACAUUUCUUUAGUAUAUAAAACAUCCACCAAAAAAAUGAAUACAAGCAAAAUGCAUUGGCACACAUUCAGGUUUGCUUCUAUGUUAGUAUCUCCACAGCUGUAUGUCUCUAUCAGUGCAUUUUUCAGAGAACUCCUUAGUAGCCAAAUGAAGAGGCAAACACAGAUGAUGAUGAUGAUGGUCAUGACAUACAUCGUUGAACCACUUCAAGAGGAAUACGAGCUUAAGAUUGAAUCCUGCGAAUCCAUACUCCAGGUAAAACACCACAUUUUAAAUUCCAGGUAAAUUUCCAUGUGAAAAUUACUAUGCAUUCACUAGUACUAAAUGUAUUAUUAAAUCACAACCGUUGAUUUUCCAGAAUGCAAUGUCUACAUGCGUGCAUGUUAUAAUCUUGGUAACGGACAACAAAAACUACUCUAUAAUGAUCUCCCCUCAGAGGUAAAUCAAUAAUUGCAGAGCUACAAAAGAGUGUUUUGUCCUAAAAUGGUAAUUAGCAUGGGUCUUGACCUCCCUCAUGGCAUCUCUCAGUCGCCCAUCUGAGAGCCAGGGCAUGUCCAGAGCUGACACUUAAUGACGCUAACAUUACACACUCGCUGAACAUUGUCGGGCUUUUGUCUUCAUUCACAUCGAAAUGAAGUUCUUGGGGCCCACGUUUAUCAAUCAUGGUGGGGCUCCAGCUGUUCGCCAGUCUUUGGCCCGACUUCAACAGCCGCGCUUACAAAUUGUCUCUGAAUAGUGUGGAGCUCUGCCUCCCCACCCUUCCACCCCCUUUUUGUCACUGUCUCCUGACAAAUGUUCCACUGCAGCUUUUCCCAGACAUGGCCGACCCUACCUUCUGCUCCUCGCCAUUCAGAGGGGGGUUCUGGCCUCAUGUUCCUCUCACAAGAUGAGCAUGGUAAUCUACAAUGGUAGCCAUUCAGACUGUUACUUAAAUGCGUAGUGUUAUGAUGUUGUGGCGUGAUUUUUGUCUUGGGCAUCAAGAAUGACGUCGAAAGAGAACAUAAGUCAUCUUUAUUAAUA